GCCCUACGGGGCGCACCAGGCGCGAAAACUCCGCAAUGCGGGAAACCGUGACGGGGUUACCCCGAGUGCUCCCCUUGUGGGAGCUUUUCCCCGCUGUAAAAAGGCGGGGGAAUAAGCGGGGGGCAAGUCUGGCGUCGGCCGCCGCGGUAAUACCAGCCCCGCGAGUGGUCGGGGUGUUUAUUGGGCCUAAAGCGGCCGUAGCCGGCCCGGUAAGUCCUCCCUGAAAGCCCCAGGCUCAACCUGGGGAGCGGGAGGAUACUACCGGGCUAGAGGGCGGGAGAGGCCGAGGGUACUCCCGGGGUAGGGGCGAAAUCCUGUAAUCCCGGGAGGACCACCAGUGGCGAAGGCGCUCGGCUGGAACGCGCCUGACGGUGAGGGCCGAAAGCCGGGGGAGCGAACCGGAUUAGAUACCCGGGUAGUCCCGGCUGUAAACGAUGCGGGCCAGGUGUUAGGCGGGCGGGAGAGCCUGCCUAGUACCGCAGGGAAGCCGUUAAGCUCGCCGCCUGGGGAGUACGGCCGCAAGGCUGAAACUUAAAGGAAUUGGCGGGGGAGCACACAAGGGGUGGAGCCUGCGGCUUAAUUGGAUUCAACGCCGGG
RNAcentral lists this ribosomal RNA (597 nucleotides) under uncultured crenarchaeote. RNAcentral describes it as "bacterial SSU rRNA". It matches the Rfam family "Archaeal small subunit ribosomal RNA", at positions 320 to 922 of the family's 1478-position model. The record is from RNAcentral. Lineage: Archaea; Thermoproteati; Thermoproteota.